Molecule: ribosomal RNA, 468 nt
Filed under: uncultured bacterium
Lineage: Bacteria
Description: partial 16S ribosomal RNA
Rfam family: Bacterial small subunit ribosomal RNA
Source: RNAcentral
GGCGAACGCUGGCGGCGUGCUUAACACAUGCAAGUCGAACGGAAAGGCCCUGCUUUUGUGGGGUGCUCGAGUGGCGAACGGGUGAGUAACACGUGAGUAACCUGCCCUUGACUUUGGGAUAACUUCAGGAAACUGGGGCUAAUACCGGAUAGGAGCUCCCGCUGCAUGGUGGGGGUUGGAAAGUUUCGGCGGUUGGGGAUGGACUCGCGGCUUAUCAGCUUGUUGGUGGGGUAGUGGCUUACCAAGGCUUUGACGGGUAGCCGGCCUGAGAGGGUGACCGGCCACAUUGGGACUGAGAUACGGCCCAGACUCCUACGGGAGGCAGCAGUGGGGAAUAUUGCACAAUGGGCGGAAGCCUGAUGCAGCAACGCCGCGUGCGGGAUGACGGCCUUCGGGUUGUAAACCGCUUUCGCCUGUGACGAAGCGUGAGUGACGGUAAUGGGUAAAGAAGCACCGGCUAACUACGUG